UACGGAGGGGGCAAGCGUUGUUCGGAUUUAUUGGGCGUAAAGGGUGCGUAGGCGGCGGAGUAAGUUGGGUGUGAAAUCCCGGGGCUCAACCUCGGAAUUGCAUUCAAUACUGCUUCGCUCGAGUACUGGAGAGGAGGCUGGAAUUUACGGUGUAGCAGUGAAAUGCGUAGAUAUCGUAAGGAAGGCCGGUGGCGAAAGCGAGCCUCUGGACAGUUACUGACGCUGAUGCACGAAGGCCAGGGGAGCAAACGGG
This 253-nucleotide ribosomal RNA is filed under the name uncultured bacterium. RNAcentral describes it as "partial 16S ribosomal RNA". It matches the Rfam family "Bacterial small subunit ribosomal RNA", at positions 524 to 776 of the family's 1533-position model. The record is from RNAcentral.